GACGAACGCUGGCGGCGUGCUUAACACAUGCAAGUCGAACGGAAAGGCCCUGCUUUUGUGGGGUGCUCGAGUGGCGAACGGGUGAGUAACACGUGAGUAACCUGCCCUUGACUUUGGGAUAACUUCAGGAAACUGGGGCUAAUACCGGAUAGGAGCUCCUGCUGCAUGGUGGGGGUUGGAAAGUUUCGGCGGUUGGGGAUGGACUCGCGGCUUAUCAGCUUGUUGGUGGGGUAGCGGCUUACCAAGGCUUUGACGGGUAGCCGGCCUGAGAGGGUGACCGGCCACAUUGGGACUGAGAUACGGCCCAGACUCCUACGGGAGGCAGCAGUGGGGAAGAGUGCACAAUGGGCGGAAGCCUGAUGCAGCAACGCCGCGUGCGGGAUGACGGCCUUCGGGUUGUAAACCGCUUUCGCCUGUGACGAAGCGUGAGUGACGGUAAUGGGUAAAGAAGCACCGGCUAACUACGUG
Molecule: ribosomal RNA, 468 nt
Filed under: uncultured bacterium
Lineage: Bacteria
Description: partial 16S ribosomal RNA
Rfam family: Bacterial small subunit ribosomal RNA
Source: RNAcentral